This 5433-nucleotide long non-coding RNA is filed under the name Homo sapiens (human). RNAcentral describes it as "HSALNT0101320". Lineage: Eukaryota; Metazoa; Chordata; Mammalia; Primates; Hominidae. The record is from RNAcentral.
CAGGAAGCACUCCAUGUAAACCUACUGUUUAAUUGGAUAUUGUACUCAAAGGUGCUUCUCUAAAUGAGCCAGUGAAAACCCAAGUGGGCGUUGGAUAAUACUUAACAGAUAGGGUUGCAUAGUUUCAGUGUAACGGUGCCUCUGUGGGUUACAGCACCAUGGUCAAAACUGGAAAAAUAGUUUCUUAGAAACGAAUAAAGGCAAACUAUGGGAAAAUGGUCAUGGAAGGCUCUCUCACUAAGAAGAAGAAAACUCAGAAUGUCUUGUUAUUAGCAACAUAGAUCUCCAACUAAAGGGCUUACUCAUCCCUGCACUUGUGAUGUCUGCAUGGAGAUGAAACAGAGAUUCAAAAGGGUCAGGUCACUGGCUCCAGGUCAACUCUACUACUAAACAGAAAAGCAAGGACCAAAAUUCAGAUCUUUGUGACCCUCAAUGCCACUAUGCCAUGCGAUGAUGCCUGCCUCUUUUAGAGGCCAACUAAUAGGCCAACUUGAUUUUCUUGAGGAAUGGCCGAAUGGAAGUUGAAUGGUUGAAGGUGACUGGCAAACAGAGAAACAAGGCACCAAGAACUGGCUAUUUCCAAACGUGGGCAAUCAGCUUCUGAAUGAAUAGUUCAGAAUGAUGCAGCUCUGGAUGUUGGAAAGGACAAUUCCGGCGUUUUACUCUUCUGACCAGUUUCUUCGUUUUCAUAACUCUACUUGAAGAACAUAUGAUGUUUGCCAGUGUCUGACAUUACGGACCUCACAGCUUACUGAAUCUGAAAACAGGAGAUAGAGAUGGAAAGGAAAGCCUCAGGAACUUGUUGCAAUAGGGACUGCCAGGUCCCGUUGCACUAUUGGUGGAAGAGAGGUCCACACGGUGCCUACGAUAAGCGAUUUGUUCGUAUCUAUCCAGACUGCAGGUGCAUACAGCCACUCAUCCUCAAAUGCCAUCCUCAGGAGUUUAUGCUGCACACAGACUGGCACAUGUGCAGGAAGACAUAGUGCAGGGCUACGUGCUACAACAUUGUUGGUGACAGCAACAUAUUGGAAGCAACCUGAAUUUUUGUUAAUAGAGGAUUGGCUACAUAAAUGAUGCUAAUCUAUACAACUGGAGUACUAUGAUGCCAUAAAAAAGAAUGUACAAGGUCUUUACGUUUGGAAAGAUCUCUAAGAUAUAAUGACCUGAACCUCAGGAGAUCUGGAGUAUGUGCUGAAUUCUACUGGGAACUGAGCCCUCUGAAUAUUAUUAUUGUUUUGCUAAUACUUUUUGCUGGAAAGUACAUCAAACCAGGAUGUGUUGUACCUCUUGCUUUGCCAGACUAUUUAAAAGCAAAAGUGACCAGAUAUCCAACUUAAGGCUGAUCCAGGUUUUUCAUGAUCUAGCCAGGGGAGACAAACCUUCCAGGAAAGUCUCUAGCGAAGGCCAAGGAUUUUAGAAAGUAUCUGUGAACAAAGAAAUGCAAUGUUAGUGGGCUAAUUUCCAUAAUCAAAUGAAGCUGAUGCAAGUGCUUUGUGAAUUGAUGCCCAUCAACGAGAGACUGGAUAAAGAAAAUGUGGCACAUAUACGCCAUGGAAUACUAUGUAGCCGUAAAAAUGAACAAGUUCAUGUCCUUUACAGGGACAUGGAUGAAGCUGGAAAUCAUCAUCCUCAGCCAAUUAACCCAGGAACAGAAAACCAAACACCACAUGUUCUCACUCAUAAGUGGGAGCUGAACAAUAAGAACACGUGAACACAGGGAGGGAAACAUCACAUAGCAGGGCCUGUUGGUGGGCCGGGGGCAAGGGAAGGGAGAGCAUUAGGACAAAUAUCUAAUGCAUGCGGGGCUUAAAACCUAGAUGACGGGUUGAUAGGUGCAGCAAACCACCAUGGCACACGUAUACCUGUGUAACAAACCUGCACAUUCUGCACAUGUAUCCCAGAACUUAAAAAAAAAAAGAAAUGCUUUGUGAAUUAGUCAGGUUCACUGAUGGGAGCUUUGGUCCUGGCACCUGAGGACUGAGCUGGGGGAACCCACACCCAGGCUGCCCAAACACACAGAGGCAGGAGAGGUCAAGGGGCAUCUCGUGGGUGUGGAGUUUUGGACACGGUAUUGCCAUUGUCAGACAUGUGGCUAAGCCUGCAAGGAUGAGAGAGGAAGGAGGAAACCAGCUCCUCUCAACCCUGCAUCAGCCUGAGUGCUUUCAAUCUCUCUCAACCCUUCUCCUCUCUUUUCUCUUUUCUCCUUCCCUCCUUCCCUGAUGGUUUGCCAGGAAGCACAGAAUAAUGGAGUUCAGUGUUACUCAAGGGGCAGUCACCUGCACAGUCAUUACCGGAAUGACGUGUUUCAUCAGAUGUUUCAAAUCCCGAUUCUUGGGGCCUGCUCUAAACCUGCCUACCAAGGCUCUAGGGGCGAGGCCUGGGGACCUGCAUUGUUUGCAAACACCCACAGGUGAUUCUUACAUGCACGAAGCCAGGGAAGCAUUGAUAGAAAAGGUCUUAGACCAGCAGCCAAAAAACCCAAGUUCAAAUCCAUUUACUACCUGGGUGGUCUUGGGCAAGUUACUUAUUAAUUCCCGGCAUGGGAGUCAAUACUACUUUAUAGGAAUUUUUUAUAAGUUAUAGGAGAUACGCUGUUAUGUUAUAGGAGUUAUUUUUUUCUCUUUGAAGAUUAAAAGAGACAAAACAUAUGACAAGGCUGGCAAACAUUGAGCUCUUGCUACAUAGUAGUACACAGUGCCCUAGAGAGUUAGCAAAGGGACGGUGAGCUCACAAAAAUCUUUGUAGGCCUCAGGAUAUAUAUAUUUUGCAGUGACUUUCAAGGCUGAUCUAACUCUCUUUGGAUGAACACAGAGCAAGGAGACUUGCCCACUGAGUGACUUUACUAUACCCCCAGGCCUUACUAACUUGCCCAGGAGUGGGGAAUAUAGUGCUAGAAGGAAGCCAAAGCAAUAAAGAGACACUUUCAGAAAAGCAGGCACUGCAAAGACAACCAUUCCAGCUGGAAGAGCAUGUGGUGGGAGUGGCGUCCUCUCAGACAUGAUCCUCUGCAGGGCUCAUGGGCUCAAAGUCACAGGUUCUCACCAAGGGUGAUGAUUUCCCACAGGGAGCAUCUAGCAACGUCUGGAGACAUUUUUGUCACAGGGUAGGGAAAGGGGGUUGCUACUAGCAUGCAGUGAACAGAGGCCAGAGAGGCUGCUAAACAUCCUACGGUACACUGGACAGUCUUCCACAACAGAAAACUGUCUGGCCCCAAAUGUUCAUGGUUUCAAGGCUGAAAAACACUGCUCUAAGCUAAUGCAGAAGACUUAGUCAUGGGUGAUAGAAGGAGGCCCCUAGGUGGCUACAAACCUCUGAGGGACAGCCUUCCGCUGUGGUGUUGCAAAGUCUCCCAGUUGCACAAGGUCCUGGCGUCCUGCUCAUUGGUGGAUCACCAUUAACCACCUUGCACGUCACAUGUUCAACAUAGCUAGUUUCCCACCCAUUCUUAACGAUGAUAAAUCAGGAAAAGCAUUCUUAGAACACUAGAAAAGCAGAAGUGUGGCUCUCUACAGGGCAGCGGGGAGGUUGCCUCACUCCUAGAAGAUGUCUUGUUUUUACCAAGAGGGUAGAGGGAUGAGAGGAGCUGGAAGACCACGCUGAGGAGCCACGUCCAGACACAUGAAACGAACCUCACAGCCCCACAAGGAUGCCGGGGAGGGCACUCAGUGCUUGGGAUCAGAGCCACGUGGCCACUGGUUUCCGAUGCCCCUUUGCUAGUAUCUGGCUUCCGUGAUUCCCUUGCCUUCAUUUUGUGGCUCUCUCCUGACACUGCCGGCUGAGUGUCUUAGUUAACCAGUAAUCUGGCUUUUCUCCCUCCACUUUGAUCUUCCUGUCUCUGCCUGUCUCCUCUUUCCUGGCAUGGCAUGUGCUCUCGGGCUGUACCUCUGGUAGUGAAUCUCUGGCUGCCCUGGACUCCUGCUGUGCACACUGCCCUGUGUGCAGGUCUGGAUGCCUGGUGUUCCUUCUCAGUGCACCGCCCGAUCCCCUGGGAUCUCUUCACCAUUUUCAUGCAUGGUGCCACCCCACGUGCAGGGCCAGCUUCAUGGCACGUCACCUGUGUGCUUGCAUAGGACUUGGUGCUCAGAAGGACUUCUUGAUGGGUUUCAUGCUCUGCGGCCACCGUAUUAAAAUUGUAAUAAUUUCCUCUUGAAACUUGUAUUUUGUAAGUGACUUCUGAUGAGACAGCAUGGAAUGAGCAGAAACACAGGAGAUACGUGUGCCUGUCCUUUCUUGUCACCCUAUUCACAUGGAGCAUUCGCCAUGAACUCAGAAUUCUGGUGUAUUCACAAUGUGUGGGAGUUCAUGAAGCUUCUAAGUGACUCCCAAGUGUGUUUUGUCUAUGAUGAGUUAGCUGGGGAGGGGGAGGGACACUGACAGCCCUGAGAGGCCACACUUUCCAUUUGAAAACCAAAACUUGCUUCAAACACAAAGGCAGCAGUGGUAUUCUAAGAAACACAUAUGACCAAGGAAACUUGGUUUGACCUUUCUUACUCAUGUUACUUCUUUGCAUUUGCAAACAACUUAAACUGAAAAUGAAGACACAGAAAGAAAUAGAAAGAUAAGGCAACCCAUAGGCCUUUUUUAAAUUCUUCCUUACUUGUCAGUAAGCCAAAGGUAGAGAGCAUUGAUAGAACGUGCAUGUAUCAGGCCGGGCACGGUGGAUUACGCCUGUAAUCCCAGCACUUUGGGAGGCCGAGGUGGUGGAUCACCUGAGGUCAGGAGUUUGAGACUAGCCUGGCCAACAUGGCAAAACCCUGUCUCUACUAAAAAUACAAAAAUUAGCAGGGUGUGGUGCCGGGUGCCUGUAAUCCCAGCUACUCGGGAGGCUGAAGCAUGAGAAUCAUUUGAACCCAGGAGGCAGAGGUUGCAGUGAACUGAGAUCAUGCCACUGCACUCCAGCCUGGGUGACAGAGAGGGACUCUGUCUCAAAAAAAAAAAAAAAGAAUGUGCAUUAUUGAGAAGCGAAAUAAAAGCAUUGAAUUAGUUUUGUGCAGCAUUUUCCACUGUUCUGGUAAGAAUGAAAUAUGCAAAUUGCAUCAUUUGGAACAAUUUAGCAUACAAAUUAAAUGCUCUUAUAUUUUCGUUUAAAGCUGGCUUUGCACAAUAUAAAGAUGAAUGGUAAGAUUCAUGCUAACAAUUUAAAAUUUUAAUUUUCCUUUACUUAGAGUGGCAUUAAAUAGCGAAUAAGAAUGAUUUUAAAAGCCUUGUGACAAGUCAAAAGAGAGACUGCAGAAGAAAAAAAGCGGCUUUUAUUUUAGUACCUUUCACAGCAGAGGUUGUUUUUGUUCCUGCUUUUGAAAAAGGGCUCCUACAUUUUCGGUUUGCACUGGCAAACCUUUUAAUGAAACAGUAAAGCAAAGUUCCUUACAUUAAAAAGGAGUCAUUUUUAAUCUCCCAGUCUACAUAGACCCAAUUUUCAUUUUAACAAGUUUC